UACGGAGGAUCCAAGCGUUAUCCGGAUUUAUUGGGUUUAAAGGGCGCGUAGGCGGCUUGCCAAGUCAGGGGUGAAAUCUCUCGGCUCAACCGGGAAAGUGCUUCUGAUACUGGCGGGCUGGAGGAGGGUAGGGGCAGAUGGAACUUCCGGUGGAGCGGUGAAAUGCGUAGAUAUCGGAAGGAACGCCGGUGGCGAAAGCGAUCUGCUGGACCCUUUCUGACGCUGAGGCGCGAAAGCCAGGGGAGCGAACGGG
Molecule: ribosomal RNA, 253 nt
Filed under: uncultured prokaryote
Description: partial 16S ribosomal RNA
Rfam family: Bacterial small subunit ribosomal RNA
Source: RNAcentral